Molecule: ribosomal RNA, 386 nt
Filed under: uncultured Planctomycetota bacterium
Lineage: Bacteria; Pseudomonadati; Planctomycetota
Description: bacterial SSU rRNA
Rfam family: Bacterial small subunit ribosomal RNA
Source: RNAcentral
ACGGGUAGCCGGCCUGAGAGGGUGGUCGGCCACACUGGGACUGAGACACUGCCCAGACUCCUACGGGAGGCUGCAGUCGAGAAUCCUUCGCAAUGCCCGAAAGGGUGACGAAGCGACGCCGCGUGUGGGAAGAAGGCCUUCGGGUUGUAAACCACUGUCGGGAGUUAAGAAAUGUAAGGGUGUUAAUAGCAUCCUCACUUGACUAAGGCUCCGGAGGAAGCCACGGCUAACUCUGUGCCAGCAGCCGCGGUAAUACAGAGGCGGCAAGCGUUGUUCGGAAUUAUUGGGCGUAAAGAGCACGUAGGCGGCUUUGUAAGUCAGUUGUGAAAGCCUUCCGCUUAACGGAAGAACAGCAUCUGAUACUGCAAGGCUAGAGUGCGGAAGGG